Molecule: ribosomal RNA, 274 nt
Filed under: Thermopetrobacter sp.
Lineage: Bacteria; Pseudomonadati; Pseudomonadota; Alphaproteobacteria
Description: partial 23S ribosomal RNA
Rfam family: Bacterial large subunit ribosomal RNA
Source: RNAcentral
GGGUGUCGGAGAUUUGAGAGGAUCUGUCCCUAGUACGAGAGGACCGGGAUGGACGCACCUCUGGUGGACCUGUUGUCGCGCCAGCGGCAGUGCAGGGUAGCUAUGUGCGGAAGGGAUAACCGCUGAAGGCAUCUAAGCGGGAAACCCACCUCGAAACGAGAUCUCCCUUGAGAGCCGUGGAAGACCACCACGUUGAUAGGCCGGGUGUGGAAGCGCAGCAAUGCGUGAAGCUGACCGGUACUAAUCGCUCGAUCGGCUUGAUCGUUCUCAUUAU